CCUACGGGUGGCAGCAGUGGGGAAUAUUGGACAAUGGGGGCAACCCUGAUCCAGCCAUGCCGCGUGUGUGAAGAAGGCCCUCGGGUUGUAAAGCACUUUCAGUGAGGAAGAACGCCUGUUGGUUAAUACCCAUCAGGAAAGACAUCACUCACAGAAGAAGCACCGGCUAACUCCGUGCCAGCAGCCGCGGUAAUACGGAGGGUGCGAGCGUUAAUCGGAAUUACUGGGCGUAAAGCGCGCGUAGGUGGCUUGAUAAGCCGGUUGUGAAAGCCCCGGGCUCAACCUGGGAACGGCAUCCGGAACUGUCAAGCUAGAGUGCAGGAGAGGAAGGUAGAAUUCCCGGUGUAGCGGUGAAAUGCGUAGAGAUCGGGAGGAAUACCAGUGGCGAAGGCGGCCUUCUGGACUGACACUGACACUGAGGUGCGAAAGCGUGGGUAGCAAACAGGAUUAGAUACCCGUGUAGUC
Molecule: ribosomal RNA, 465 nt
Filed under: Vreelandella stevensii
Lineage: Bacteria; Pseudomonadati; Pseudomonadota; Gammaproteobacteria; Oceanospirillales; Halomonadaceae
Description: partial 16S ribosomal RNA
Rfam family: Bacterial small subunit ribosomal RNA
Source: RNAcentral